AGAGAGAGACAUGCGCGCAUAUCAAUAAGCGGAGGAAAAGAAACUAACUAGGAUUCCCUCAGUAACGGCGAGUGAAGCGGGAAGAGCUCAAAUUUGAAAUCUUCAAGGUUCUACCUUGACGAAUUGUAGUUUAAAGAAGUGUUUUCUGUUGGAGUUUUGGUAAAAGUUCUUUGGAAUAGGACAUCAUAGAGGGUGAGAAUCCCGUAUUUGACCAUUAUUUCCAGCUUUGUGAUACACUUUCAAAGAGUCGGAUUGUUUGGGAAUGCAGUCCAAAAUGGGUGGUAAAUUUCAUCUAAAGCUAAAUACUGGCGAGAGACCGAUAGCGAACAAGUACCGUGAGGGAAAGAUGAAAAGAACUUUGAAAAGAGAGUUAAACAGUACGUGAAAUUGUCAAAAGGGAAGCGUUUGACACCAGUGUUGUUUUCUCGAAAAUCAAUUAAAAAAGGCAGGAUUUUGUGUUGUAUUGACUUUAUCAGCUUUCUGCACUCUUUUCUUGUCUUUUUUAAUGCACUUUUCGUUUAACAAGUCAACAUCAAUUUCUUUUGUUGUAAAAGGGUCAUUGGAAGGUGGCUUUCUUUUCGGAGAAAGUGUUUAUAGCCUUUGACUCCUGCAAUCGGAGAGACUGAGGUCUGCGGCGUAGAUCCUUCGGGGUUAGAUACAUUUGUGCUAAGUUAUAGCCUUUCAUAGACAACUUGUUGACUAUGAUCAGUCAUGUAGCUUACUCGCUUAUGCUAUUUUACCUACGCUUAGGAUGUUGAUGUGAUACUGCGAGCA
RNAcentral lists this ribosomal RNA (774 nucleotides) under uncultured Neocallimastigales. Its description in RNAcentral is "partial large subunit ribosomal RNA". It matches the Rfam family "Eukaryotic large subunit ribosomal RNA", at positions 23 to 634 of the family's 3401-position model. The record is from RNAcentral. Lineage: Eukaryota; Fungi; Neocallimastigomycota; Neocallimastigomycetes; Neocallimastigales.